Molecule: long non-coding RNA, 539 nt
Filed under: Ananas comosus (pineapple)
Lineage: Eukaryota; Viridiplantae; Streptophyta; Magnoliopsida; Poales; Bromeliaceae
Description: long non-coding RNA (ACOM_LNC019549)
Source: RNAcentral
AAUUUAAAAUUUAAAAUCAAAAUUUUGAAUAUGAUUUUAAAUUUAAAUUCAGAUUUUAAAUUUAAAAUUCGGUUUCAAAACUUUUAUUUUAAAUGUAAAUUGAAAUAUCAAAAUCAAAAUCAAAAUCAAAAUUUUAAGUUUGAAUUGAAAAUUUAGAUUCAAUUAAAAAUUUAAAUUUAUAAUUUGAAUUUCAAUUCAAAAUUUUAAUUCAGUUUUAAAUUCAAAUUCAAAAUUCGAAUUUCUCGUAAGUUUAAAAUUUUAAUUUUAAUAUUAUUUUUGAAUUUAAAUUUUAAAUUUUAAAUUUUUAUUUUUAGAGACUAAAAUGAAAAACGUACAAAGUUUAGGGACCUAAAUUAACAUGUAAAAGGAUGCCAAAUAGGCGCUGAUGUGGCGAUUCCGUUAAUUUUAAUAGUUUUUUUAACGGUUGGUACGUAAUUAUAAUAAAAUCAAAAAAUUAGAGACUCAAUUGUAAAAAAAAAAAAGGUUGGAGAUUCAAGUGAAAAUUAGUGCAAAGGUUGGAGACUAUGGUGUAAUUAAUU